AAUUGCAGAACCCCUAGGUUAAAUCGCGAGACGAAUCUAUUAAGCCUAAUUAAUCCAUCAUUAGUGAAUGGUUACUGUAGCACCACAUUGUCAAAUCAUGAACUAAUUAGGCUUAAUAGAUUCGUCUCGCGAUUUAGCCUAGGGGUUGUGUAAUUAGUUUUGUAAUUAGUCUAGGUUUAAUACUCCUAAUUGGUGUCCAAACAUUCGAUGUGACGGGAGCUAAAAUUUAGCCUCCUCCUCCCAAACA
This 247-nucleotide long non-coding RNA is filed under the name Setaria viridis. Its description in RNAcentral is "long non-coding RNA (SVIR_LNC005007)". Lineage: Eukaryota; Viridiplantae; Streptophyta; Magnoliopsida; Poales; Poaceae. The record is from RNAcentral.